UACGUAGGGGGCAAGCGUUGUCCGGAAUUAUUGGGCGUAAAGCGCGCGCAGGCGGUUCUUUAAGUCUGGUGUUUAAACCAUGGGCUCAACCUAUGGUCGCACUGGAAACUGGGGAACUUGAGUGCGGAAGAGGAGAGUGGAAUUCCACGUGUAGCGGUGAAAUGCGUAGAUAUGUGGAGGAACACCAGUGGCGAAGGCGACUCUCUGGGCUGUAACUGACGCUGAGGCGCGAAAGCGUGGGGAGCAAACA
This 250-nucleotide ribosomal RNA is filed under the name uncultured prokaryote. RNAcentral describes it as "partial 16S ribosomal RNA". It matches the Rfam family "Bacterial small subunit ribosomal RNA", at positions 524 to 774 of the family's 1533-position model. The record is from RNAcentral.